This is a non-coding RNA of Acanthosepion pharaonis, 105 nucleotides long. NCBI's taxonomy places the organism in Eukaryota, Metazoa, Mollusca, Cephalopoda, Sepiida, Sepiidae. The record is from the annotation of a GenBank genome assembly.
UUACGGCCAUAUCACGUUGAAACAUCGGUUCCUGUACGAUCACUGAAGCUAAGCAACAUGACCCUUGUCAGUACUUAGAUGGGUGACCGCUUGAGAAUACAAAGU